RNAcentral lists this transfer RNA (70 nucleotides) under Cavia porcellus (domestic guinea pig). It matches the Rfam family "tRNA". Rfam says of the family: Transfer RNA (tRNA) molecules are approximately 80 nucleotides in length. Lineage: Eukaryota; Metazoa; Chordata; Mammalia; Rodentia; Caviidae. The record is from Rfam by way of RNAcentral.
GGGGAUAUAGCUCAGUGGCAUAAGCACCUGCCUUGCAAGCAGGUGGUCGUGAGUUCGAUCCCUGGUACCG